GAUGAACGCUGGCGGCGUGCUUAACACAUGCAAGUCGAACGAUGAUUCCCGGUGCUUGCCCCGGGUGGAUUAGUGUCGAAUGGGUGAGUAUCACGUGAAUAACCUGCCCUUGACUCUGGCAUAAGCCUGGGAAUCUGGGUCUAAUACCAGAUACAACCACUCACCGCAUGGUGUGAUGGUGUAAAGCUUUAUCGGUUUUGGAUGGACUCUCGGACUAUCACCUAUACGGUGAGGUAAUGGCUCACCGUGGCGAUGACCGGGAGCCGGACUGAAAGGGUGACCGGACACACUGGGACUGAGACGCGGCCCAGACUCCUACCGGAGGCAUCCGUGGAGGAAUAUUGCACAAUGAUCGAAAGCCCGAUGCAACCACGCCGCGUGUGCGAUGACGGCCUUCAGAUUGUUCACCACUUUCAACCUGCAAUAAGCUUUUUGUAACAGGACCUGCCCAGAAUGCGACGGCUAACUUCAUGCCAUCACCCGCGGCAAUACAUAAGGCGCGAGCGUUAUCCGGAAUUAUUGGGCGGAAAGAGCUCGUAGGCGGUUUGUCUCGUCUGCUGUGAUAGCCCGGGGCUUAACUCCGGCUGUGCACUGCGUACGGAACUGCUAGAGUGCAGUACGGGAGACUGGAAAUUCCUGGUGUAGCGGUGAAAUGCGCAGAUAUCAGGAGGAACACCGAUGGCGAAGGCAGGUCUCUGGACUGUUACUGACGCUGAGGAUCGAAAGCAUGGGGAGCGAACAGGAUUAGAUACCCUGGUAGUCCAUGCCGUAAACGUUGGGCACUAGGUGUGGGGGACAUUGCACUCUUUCCGCGCCGUAGCUAACGCAUUAAGCGCUCCGCCUGGGGAGUACGUCCGCAAGGAUGAAACUCAAAGGAAUUGACGGGGGCCCGCACAAGCGGCGGAGCAUGCGGAUUAAUUCGAAGCAACGCGAAGAACCUUACCAAGUCUUGACAUACAUCGGACCGCCCUAGAGAUAGGCUUUCCCUUCGGGGCUGGUGUACAGGUGGUGCAUGGUUGUUGUCAGCUUGUGUUGUGAGAUGUUGGGUUAAGUCCCGCAACGAGCGCAACCCUUGUCCUACGUUGCCAGCCAGUAAUGGUGGGCACUCAUGGGAGACUGCCGGGGUCAACUCGGAGGAAGGUGGGGAUGACGUCAAAUCAUCAUGCCCCUUAUGUCUUGGGCUUCACGCAUGCUACAAUGGCCGGUACAGUGGGAUGCGAUACUGUGAGGUGGAGCUAAUCCCUAAAAGCCGGUUUCAGUUUGGAUCGAAGUUUGCAACUCGACUUCCUGAAGUUGGAGUCGCUAGUAAUUGCAGAUCAGCAAUGCUGCGGUGAAUACGUUCCCGGGCCU
This 1350-nucleotide ribosomal RNA is filed under the name uncultured bacterium. RNAcentral's name for it is "bacterial SSU rRNA". It matches the Rfam family "Bacterial small subunit ribosomal RNA", at positions 28 to 1381 of the family's 1533-position model. The record is from RNAcentral.